GAUACUAUACUACACUGAAAUGUUAAAACGUUUAUUUGAUCGUCCUUGAAUCUCCUCCACACAUGCCAUCCUCUCUUGCCACACCAAUGUGGCGCACUACACCCUUUGAGAACCGCUGUCUUAGAGGAAUGUGGCCUUAGAAGCUUUCUCUUUACGACUUUAAAACAUCAUGUAGGACAAUGAAAAUCUGUCUUACCCCCCUCUGUUUAUUUUGACAUAGGACAUCUUCCCUGGCAAACUGUUUUUCAUUUGUUACACUUGGCGAAAAUAUUCAAUCUCUUUUGGAAGCACCCAGUCCAGUGUUUGAGUAUUUGGUAGAGUAUAUUUGGGGAAUAAGUUCCCUGGUUACUGUUGUACUGUACAUUUUAGGAACAAAAUGAGACAACUAUGUAAUUAAACACACUGAGCUGGCAGUCCAUAAAGGAGCAGGUGGAGAUCAGUAGCUUUAGUCACAUAACUUGGCUGGUGUUUUUAAAAAAAAUGCUUUGUAGUAGUCUUGUGGGCCAACUUAUGCAGAUGUAAGCUACGCAAAGAAGAGAGCACCACCUGUACAAUCUUUCUUUACUUUGCCAGUAGCGUUUGUUAUACAUGUAAACAAAUGAACUGUAUUACAAGUCCAGUAACAGAAUGCUAUCAUGCUAGGAGCAGCAACAAAAUAACUCUGCGUAUACUGGGAUUUCUUAACUUUUUAUCUUUGGCUCUGGAAUAUCAACUUCCCUUUCAAACAAUAUUGCACAUAUAAUUUACAGCCUAAUCUUUUUGAUCCAGUUUAGCUACAGCAGCACAAACGAUGGGUUGGAUCCAAAGAGGCAUGAGGAAAAGAGAAACAGCAGCUCCAUAAAAGCUUGAGCAAGAAUCCACACACAACAUUAUUCAAGGCAACUUGUGAUGCUCAAUGAUGCCACCCCUGCCCCUCUCAGGAGCCACUGAGAGAAGAGGACCCAUUGUGGACAAUGUUCUGUAUUCAGUGGCCUGUGUUUCCCUGAGCUUCAGUCUGGACUAAGGAUUCUGAGCUCCUAUGUUCUGAUUCGAUAAAUGAUGUCCUGUCACAGAACAUUUCAGGAUUUGGGCCUCUGACAUUGGCCCUUGAACUCUGAGUUGUGAUUUGCAGCUUGGAAGUUUAGACAGCCAAUCAUGUUGGGAGUGGGAGUGGCCCAGGCUUUCAGGAAUGUAUAUAAGCAGUUGCUUUGCCCCUAUUUCCCAGUUAUGUAGUUCAAUAAAGGUUCUUGCUGUUA
Podarcis raffonei (Aeolian wall lizard) is the source of this 1235-nucleotide long non-coding RNA. RefSeq lists it as uncharacterized. The record is from RefSeq and is a predicted model, not a curated record. Lineage: Eukaryota; Metazoa; Chordata; Lepidosauria; Squamata; Lacertidae. The transcript is spliced from 2 exons.